Molecule: ribosomal RNA, 2906 nt
Filed under: Escherichia coli
Lineage: Bacteria; Pseudomonadati; Pseudomonadota; Gammaproteobacteria; Enterobacterales; Enterobacteriaceae
Description: 23S ribosomal RNA
Rfam family: Bacterial large subunit ribosomal RNA
Source: RNAcentral
GGUUAAGCGACUAAGCGUACACGGUGGAUGCCCUGGCAGUCAGAGGCGAUGAAGGACGUGCUAAUCUGCGAUAAGCGUCGGUAAGGUGAUAUGAACCGUUAUAACCGGCGAUUUCCGAAUGGGGAAACCCAGUGUGAUUCGUCACACUAUCAUUAACUGAAUCCAUAGGUUAAUGAGGCGAACCGGGGGAACUGAAACAUCUAAGUACCCCGAGGAAAAGAAAUCAACCGAGAUUCCCCCAGUAGCGGCGAGCGAACGGGGAGCAGCCCAGAGCCUGAAUCAGUGUGUGUGUUAGUGGAAGCGUCUGGAAAGGCGCGCGAUACAGGGUGACAGCCCCGUACACAAAAAUGCACAUGCUGUGAGCUCGAUGAGUAGGGCGGGACACGUGGUAUCCUGUCUGAAUAUGGGGGGACCAUCCUCCAAGGCUAAAUACUCCUGACUGACCGAUAGUGAACCAGUACCGUGAGGGAAAGGCGAAAAGAACCCCGGCGAGGGGAGUGAAAAAGAACCUGAAACCGUGUACGUACAAGCAGUGGGAGCACAGAGCAAUCUGUGUGACUGCGUACCUUUUGUAUAAUGGGUCAGCGACUUAUAUUCUGUAGCAAGGUUAACCGAAUAGGGGAGCCGAAGGGAAACCGAGUCUUAACUGGGCGUUAAGUUGCAGGGUAUAGACCCGAAACCCGGUGAUCUAGCCAUGGGCAGGUUGAAGGUUGGGUAACACUAACUGGAGGACCGAACCGACUAAUGUUGAAAAAUUAGCGGAUGACUUGUGGCUGGGGGUGAAAGGCCAAUCAAACCGGGAGAUAGCUGGUUCUCCCCGAAAGCUAUUUAGGUAGCGCCUCGUGAAUUCAUCUCCGGGGGUAGAGCACUGUUUCGGCAAGGGGGUCAUCCCGACUUACCAACCCGAUGCAAACUGCGAAUACCGGAGAAUGUUAUCACGGGAGACACACGGCGGGUGCUAACGUCCGUCGUGAAGAGGGAAACAACCCAGACCGCCAGCUAAGGUCCCAAAGUCAUGGUUAAGUGGGAAACGAUGUGGGAAGGCCCAGACAGCCAGGAUGUUGGCUUAGAAGCAGCCAUCAUUUAAAGAAAGCGUAAUAGCUCACUGGUCGAGUCGGCCUGCGCGGAAGAUGUAACGGGGCUAAACCAUGCACCGAAGCUGCGGCAGCGACGCUUAUGCGUUGUUGGGUAGGGGAGCGUUCUGUAAGCCUGCGAAGGUGUGCUGUGAGGCAUGCUGGAGGUAUCAGAAGUGCGAAUGCUGACAUAAGUAACGAUAAAGCGGGUGAAAAGCCCGCUCGCCGGAAGACCAAGGGUUCCUGUCCAACGUUAAUCGGGGCAGGGUGAGUCGACCCCUAAGGCGAGGCCGAAAGGCGUAGUCGAUGGGAAACAGGUUAAUAUUCCUGUACUUGGUGUUACUGCGAAGGGGGGACGGAGAAGGCUAUGUUGGCCGGGCGACGGUUGUCCCGGUUUAAGCGUGUAGGCUGGUUUUCCAGGCAAAUCCGGAAAAUCAAGGCUGAGGCGUGAUGACGAGGCACUACGGUGCUGAAGCAACAAAUGCCCUGCUUCCAGGAAAAGCCUCUAAGCAUCAGGUAACAUCAAAUCGUACCCCAAACCGACACAGGUGGUCAGGUAGAGAAUACCAAGGCGCUUGAGAGAACUCGGGUGAAGGAACUAGGCAAAAUGGUGCCGUAACUUCGGGAGAAGGCACGCUGAUAUGUAGGUGAAGCGACUUGCUCGUGGAGCUGAAAUCAGUCGAAGAUACCAGCUGGCUGCAACUGUUUAUUAAAAACACAGCACUGUGCAAACACGAAAGUGGACGUAUACGGUGUGACGCCUGCCCGGUGCCGGAAGGUUAAUUGAUGGGGUCAGCGCAAGCGAAGCUCUUGAUCGAAGCCCCGGUAAACGGCGGCCGUAACUAUAACGGUCCUAAGGUAGCGAAAUUCCUUGUCGGGUAAGUUCCGACCUGCACGAAUGGCGUAAUGAUGGCCAGGCUGUCUCCACCCGAGACUCAGUGAAAUUGAACUCGCUGUGAAGAUGCAGUGUACCCGCGGCAAGACGGAAAGACCCCGUGAACCUUUACUAUAGCUUGACACUGAACAUUGAGCCUUGAUGUGUAGGAUAGGUGGGAGGCUUUGAAGUGUGGACGCCAGUCUGCAUGGAGCCGACCUUGAAAUACCACCCUUUAAUGUUUGAUGUUCUAACGUUGACCCGUAAUCCGGGUUGCGGACAGUGUCUGGUGGGUAGUUUGACUGGGGCGGUCUCCUCCUAAAGAGUAACGGAGGAGCACGAAGGUUGGCUAAUCCUGGUCGGACAUCAGGAGGUUAGUGCAAUGGCAUAAGCCAGCUUGACUGCGAGCGUGACGGCGCGAGCAGGUGCGAAAGCAGGUCAUAGUGAUCCGGUGGUUCUGAAUGGAAGGGCCAUCGCUCAACGGAUAAAAGGUACUCCGGGGAUAACAGGCUGAUACCGCCCAAGAGUUCAUAUCGACGGCGGUGUUUGGCACCUCGAUGUCGGCUCAUCACAUCCUGGGGCUGAAGUAGGUCCCAAGGGUAUGGCUGUUCGCCAUUUAAAGUGGUACGCGAGCUGGGUUUAGAACGUCGUGAGACAGUUCGGUCCCUAUCUGCCGUGGGCGCUGGAGAACUGAGGGGGGCUGCUCCUAGUACGAGAGGACCGGAGUGGACGCAUCACUGGUGUUCGGGUUGUCAUGCCAAUGGCACUGCCCGGUAGCUAAAUGCGGAAGAGAUAAGUGCUGAAAGCAUCUAAGCACGAAACUUGCCCCGAGAUGAGUUCUCCCUGACUCCUUGAGAGUCCUGAAGGAACGUUGAAGACGACGACGUUGAUAGGCCGGGUGUGUAAGCGCAGCGAUGCGUUGAGCUAACCGGUACUAAUGAACCGUGAGGCUUAACCUU